CCUACGGGAGGCUGCAGUGGGGAAUCUUGCACAAUGGGGGAAAGCCUGAUGCAGCGACGCCGCGUGAGUGAAGAAGUAAUUCGGUAUGUAAAGCUCUGUUAGUAGGGAAGAACAUGAGUUUACGUGAGUGUUAAGCCCUGGAUAACUACGGGCCAGCAACCGCGGUAUUACGUAGGGCGAACGCGGUAUCCGGAUUUACUGGGUGUAAAGGGAGCGGAGACGGUAGUGCAAGUCUGGAGUGAAAGGCGGGGGCUCAACCCCCGGACUGCGCUGGAAACUGUACGGCUUGAGUGCAGGAGAGGUAAGUGGAAUUCCGAGUGUAGCGGUGAAAUGCGUAGAUAUUAGGAGGAACACCAGUGGCGAAGGCGGCUUACUGGACUGUAACUGACGCUGAGGCUCGAAAGCGUGGGUAGCAAACAGGAUUAGAUACCCUUGUAGUC
This 440-nucleotide ribosomal RNA is filed under the name uncultured bacterium. RNAcentral's name for it is "partial 16S ribosomal RNA". It matches the Rfam family "Bacterial small subunit ribosomal RNA", at positions 338 to 795 of the family's 1533-position model. The record is from RNAcentral.